GACAGAGGGUGCAAACGUUGUUCGGAUUUACUGGGCGUAAAGCGUGUGUAGGCGGCUUCGCAAGUUGGAUGUGAAAUCCCACGGCUCAACCGUGGACGUGCAUCCAAAACUGCGUCGCUAGAGUCUCGGAGAGGAAGGUGGAAUGCUUGGUGUAGAGGUGAAAUUCGUAGAUAUCAAGCAGAACACCUGCGGCGAAGGCGGCCUUCUGGACGAUGACUGACGCUGAGACACGAAAGCGUGGGGAGCAAACAGG
Molecule: ribosomal RNA, 253 nt
Filed under: uncultured bacterium
Lineage: Bacteria
Also listed under: 1 other name
Description: partial 16S ribosomal RNA
Rfam family: Bacterial small subunit ribosomal RNA
Source: RNAcentral